AUCGCCGAAGAGCGCCUGACCUACCAGCGAGUCAAGGUGGGACUCGUGCGGGCCACGGAAGGUCACCGCGGUGAUCUCGGAGCAGACCACCAGCACACGUGCGCCGCGGUUGUUCUCAGCAAGGUCUUUGGCUAGGCGAAGCACCGUGCCGCCAGCGAAACAGCCCUGCUGAUACAUCAUGAGGCGCUUCACAGACGGGCGAAGACCGAGCAUCUUGGUGAGCUGGUAGUCGGCGCCCGGCAUGUCCACACCGGAGGUGGUGCAGAAGACAAGGUGGGUGAUCUUACACCGCGGUUGGCCCCACUCCUUGAUCGCCUUCUGUGCCGCGGCCUUCCCGAGCUUGGGGACCUCCACGACGACGAUGUCCUAGCGCGCGUCUAGAGAUGGCGCCAUGUAGGCGCACAUGUUGGGGUUGUCCUGCAGGAUCUCCUCCGUUAGGUGCAUGUACCUCUUCCUGAUCUGCGACUUGUCACCUGAAAUGACGCACCAAUUGAUAUCGUUUGCUAGGUCCCGUGUCCAUCGGAGAAAAAGGCAAAAAGAGACGGCAAAAGAAGAAUGGAAUUCAUUGGACUUACACAUUCUCUUGAACUUCUCCUUGAGGUCGGCCAUGUGGUCGCUCUUGGUGAUCUUGAAGUAGUAGUCCGGGUAGUCGGCCUGGUACACGCAGUUUGCCGGCGUCGCCGUGCCGAUCGCCAGCACCGUGGCCGGUCCCUCCGCCCGCUGUGCCUGCCUCACCUCCUCCACCGUCAUGGUCGCCGCCAUUGAUCUGUACGUACCGGUGCUGCGUGUACCGGUGCUGGGUGUUGAUAUGAGUGUGGGGGACGUACGGCAUAUAUACGUGGGAAGGAUGGCUGCGGGAAGAAGAGGUUUGGUGAGUUGGACGGGAGGAUGGAUGGCCACGGAUGCGUAGGUAGGAGAUGCAUGGAUGGCGCGAGCGACACGUGUACGUCUGUUACCAACCAAUCCGGCCGAGUACUCGUGUGCUUAAUCUGUCCAUCCAGUUAUGUGCUUGAACCGGUCAGCUAUUACCACAUCAAGCUAAUAGCUACCUCUCUCUCAAACGAAUCUAGCAAAUAGUUCGGGGAGUGCGUAGGUGGAAGAUGUGGUCGGCCACAUCACCAACAAAACGACAAUUGUUCAAUAUUUGCUCUAGCGCUUUCAGGGCCUCGCUAUGAGUUAAAGCAUCACUAGUCGUGAACCCGUGCAGUCGCACGGGCCAUACAUAUCAGAAUCUUUUGCACAGUUAGGACAGUGAUGACUUAGAUAUAGGUAAUCUUUCUUGUUUGAGCACCACAUUAAGCAAGAUAACACAAUGCCACAUCAUUUAUUCAUUUACGAAUGGAAACUUGAGCCGUAUGAAAUCAUUGGUAGAAUAUUCAUUGACGACCUUGGAAAAUAUAAACCGGCCAAAUUUUGUCUCUAUAUCAUUUUUAAUUGUAAUAUGUUCUCGUUAGGAAACAAUAAUAAUUUUGUAAAUAUUAAACCGACUUAUGAUGUUUUCUGUAUAAUAUAUGUCACUAUACAUGCUGGCAAGAAACCUAUAAAUAAAUAUUAUGAAGUUGUACUAGCUAAGAUAAGUAAAGUCUCGGGUAUAUAUAAAGACAAAUGACUCUUAGUUUCUUCUUGUAAUUAUUAUAUCCUUAACUACUAUUAUAUAUAUGAACAAAUAAAGGACAAGAAUCAGUUUUUUUAGUUGGAUUAAUUAUUAUCAACUCGAAAGCAUGAACAGUUCAUAAUAGAAUGGUCAGCGUAAUGUACCAAGUUAUAUAGUUUAGUUUUAUAGCAGUAACUUGUAAUUCAGUUGAUUGCUCCCUUUGAUCAGUAGGGUCUGGCUAUAGUUACCUCAUCCUUUAACUUGUGCUUGCAUGAAAAAUUACAUUUUCUUCAAAAGGUUUUUCCUUAACUACGCCUGAACAUGUACCCCUAUAGACAUAUCAUAAAACAUAUUGCUAUCUCAUUGCUAGGUACAACUUUAGUUUUUUUCUGCUAGAAUUUUUUUAGAGGAAGCAAGAUAUUUAUAUCUUGAUAUGUUCUAAUGUAGAGGAUGAUUUAGGAAGAUUGAUGUCAUACUUCUCUUUUUCAGUGACUGCAAUCAUAGUUAGGUAGACUGCAUGCAUGCAAUUUCUUUCAUUAGAUUAAUUUGCCAUGAAAAAUAUUCACAAUAUUUUUUAGUUUCUUGUGUUUGCAUGUUCAUACAAAAAGUAGGGAUCAAAGUUACAUAUUAGAAAAAAAUAAGUAACAUAGCAAAUUCCGAAAAUAUUGGGACUCAUAGUGUUCAAAUUUUGUGAGAUCACUGGUUCCUUUCAUUGUGGACCAAGUCAAUUGGUAAUCUUGGCUUUUCCCCUUUUCUAGUGGAUAAGGAGAAUCUUACUAACAUGAUACCAUGUGUUGAUUUAUAGCCGCCCUAUAGUAGAGAUGGUGAUCCAGAGUUGGCUAGGGUGCAGGCUCCAACAUCUUGAGAAGGGUCUCCUCGCUCCAGCAUCACCCUGACGAACUUGUACCUGAUGGUACCUAAGUUACUGUAGACACUCCUUUUGUGGGAAACACACAUACAUAGAAACAAUAGUUAUGAACCCCAGAUGAUUACAUGGCACAUUUUUCAUUGGAAUAGCUCCUUUGCGAAGGGCCUAUCUUUUUUGUUACAUUUAUUUUACUGUAGAGUCAACUUCUUAUCCAACCCCAUUUAUUCUCCACUUGACAAACAUUGUAUGGCGGGGAAUCAUCCAGGCACAUAUAUCCAGUUGAAUAUAUAUGAUCAUGAUUCAUUAUUGUUGACAAUUAUCCCUAAGAUAAAAAAAGUCGAGCAGUUAAUUAAGCAUUGCAACACCCCUACCUUUGUUUGCGUCUGGUGGAAAUUGUUUGUUCUAAAAAUAUGCUCCUGAGUGCCAGAAAUCAUCUAAAGACUAAAUGAUAGUUGAGUAUGUGACGUUUGCAAAACCAAACCUUUUAUAUAGAUUCUUUUGAAAAAAUAGGAUGAAUUGUGAUUGUUUGAUGACUAGUAACAUAGUUUGUUGGGUUUCAAUAGAGUUUAUUGUUUAAACUUUAACAUGUGAAAUAGGUUAUAACUUGUUCAUGAGAACUUUUAUGAGGGGGAAUUGCUAUUUAUGAUAUAUAAUGAUGUUAAUAAGUGUGAUGCUAUCAUUUAUAUAUUCUUUAUUAUCGACACCUCUCUCCAUAAACUUGUGGUCAUGUUUAUUGAGCUCGACAUUUGCUUGGGGAAAAGCGAACUCUAAGCUUGGAGGAGUUGACACAUCUGUUUUGCAUCACUAUUUCCUACUAUAACUUAUCAUAUUUCAAUGAUAUAUUUCACAAUAUGAUGCAAUUCUAAUGCCCUUUCUCUCUUAAAAUGCAACGUAAACACAUAGAGGGAGAUUACGAAACUACUGGAAAUCUGGACCAACAAUACAGUAGAAGAAAAAUAAAAUUUUGGAGCUCCAAAUGCAGCGGGUAUUUAGUAAAUUAUUUCCAUAAAAUAUGAAGCUAGGAGCCAGAAGAUGGGCCAGAGGGGACCCACCAGGGUGCGCACCACACGUCCACCCAUGCGUGUGGGCCCUAAGCCGUGCCACGUAGCCGCAUGGGCCCUUGGUGGCUCGCUUCCUGACGCUCUUUGUCCAUAAAAUUCCUUUUCCAUAGAAAAAUCACAGAAAUUCCUCUGCGAUAGAGCGAUUUUCUGGGGUAAACUUCCUUUCGGAGGGGGAAAUCGAAGCCAGCAUCACCACCAACACUCUGUGCAUUGUCGGGAUCAUCAUCUCCGUCAACAUCUUCACCAACACCAUCCCAUCUCCAAACCCUAGUUCAUCCAUCUUCUCUAUCUUUAUAUCGAACUUCAGGUUGGUCGCUGGGAGUACAUAUGUGUCUUCGUUAAACCUUGUAGUUGAUACAUAGGAGAUUUAUCGAUGAAAGAUUGUUAUGAUCAGAUUGUUCAUCAUAUAUUUAUGCCCACUGUUCAUGAUCCAUAUGAUGUCUUGUGAUUAGAUCAUUGAGUUCUAUAGGAUAUGGGAGAAGUCUAGUUGCUAGUAAUCAUGUGAAGUUGAAUACCAUUUAAUGUUUUGAUGAUAUGCUUUGUUGUUCUUCCUCUAGUGGUGUUUGUGAACAUCGACUACAUGACACUUUACCAUCUUUGGGCCUAGUGGAAGCAAUUAUGGAAUUAGUUUAUAGAUGAUGGGUUGCAGGUGUGAUAGUAAACCCAAACCCCAGUUUAUGAAUUAUUCCGUGAGCGGCUGUUUGGAAUCCUUUUGUUUAAUGCUUUAGCUAGAUUUAUCUUAAUCACUUUGUAUUUGCGGACGUUUGCAUGGAGGGUAUAACCAUAAGUAGGUAUUUGUUGAAGUAAGUAGAGUACCGUAGCUCUAGUCCACCCUAAUAACACGUAUCAAAGCAAUUAAUGGUAACUUAAUGAAUCACGGUGAAAGUAACUUACAAAAUUCCCGUGUGUCCUCAAGAGUGUUUUAGCUAUUAUAAGAAAGACCACCAGCUCCACUUGCUGCCCUCUAUUACAUGUGUUACUAUUUAUAUUGUUACAAAUUAUCUUGCUAUCAAACAACCGACCGAAUUAUCUUUACAACAUUUAUACUGAAACCUUGCUAAAAACUACCUGUCAAUUCCUUUUGCUCCUCGUUCGGUUCAACACUCUUAUUUAUCAAAAACACUAUGAUAGGUCCACUAUACUUGUGGGUCAUCAAGAUCCUGACAAGGAAGACCAAACACAGAGAGGAGGAUCGGGAGGCGAUUUGUAGCAUCCAAGGGCGGGGGCACACAUCCUUCUUUUUCUUUUGGCUUUUAAUUCGCCAUCUUGCAUAUGUUCUGAACCCAAAUUCCAAAUUAAGUGUAAGUUGCAUAUUCGUGUUUUUGGUGCAGAGGUGUUUCAAAUGAGUAUACAUUUUGACAAGUUUCUAAAAUUUCCUUAAGUUUCAACUUCUCAAACUUGAUACUAGCGAUCGACAAAUUUGUAAGUUUAAGAACCUGCAACCAAUGAAAUUGCAAGUUUUAUCUUUCAACUUCUAAAUUUGGGACGAGCGACCGGAAAAUCAUAAGUUUCAGAAACUAAAACUUUAAAAGUUGGUGUGCCCUUACGAGAUAAUCGAGCGGUUGGUGCGUCUCGGCAUGUGCGUGCCCCUGCGAAUUUUCGAGGCAGAUAGCUGAAGGCACACAAAAAGAAUUAGCUGACUAAUUAGAAUUCAGAAAGCAACUCGUUUGGGGAAUUUUAGUGAAGCCUAUGCGCACACCUACAAACGUCUUAUCUCAAGGCCGUGCAUACAGAGCUGCCAUCCUCAUUGAGGGGUUGUGGGCGGGAACAAUUUAUACGCUCCAAAUGGCUUGACCACACAAACAAAAAACGGCAAGCAAUGCGUGCGCACUAACACACAACCCAAGUGAACAUGCCUCAACAAAGUUCAAUGGGCAUGUAUCUUCCCUGUUGGUCCUCCUAAGCAACACUUGGUAAACCUUUUAUCUACAAUUUUUUUCUAUGAAAAACUACAAAACACCUACUGAAAAUUGUCAUAGUAAACUACAUAAAUAGAAAAUAACCUACAUGGCAAAAAAUGACAUAGUAAAUCUAAAAAAUAGGAAAGAACAAAUAACUAUGCCUUGUUCCAAAUACAGGAAAAGAUAAUAUAUGGAAAAUUUGCGUGUUAUGAAAAAAAUUCAUAUAUGAAUUUGCAAUUGUAUAGUAAAUAAACAACAAAAAAGUAUGUAUUUUAAUUUACCGUGGUUGUAUAAGGAAUUUUUUUUACUUUUGAUGAUAAGACUGCAAAAUUGAACUGUAAAAAAAAAUUCUAGGCCAUUUUCAACAAAAUUUCCAUGUUCUCAAUAAUAAAAUGUCCCGAUUCAUAUUUUCAUUUUCACAACAUAAAAAUCUCACACAGUAAAUUGCCAUGAUGCAAAUAAAUAAAAUUGCCAUGACAUUGUAAAUAAAUUUCUAUGUCGUUAAAAUUAAGAUUGUUGUGCUCUCAAUUAUGAAAAGGCCAUGAUUGAGAAAUUAACAAACAUAAAAUACCUACAAAAAAUCACAACUAUGUGUAACAACUAUAUGAAUGGAAUAUGAAAGCACGACAACAUGGCAAAUUGUACACAUUUUGAUAUAUACAUCAUGGCAAAAUAUUAAAUUGUUUGUUUUACUCACAGUGCAAGUGACCAUGGAAGCAAUAAUUAUUAGAAAAAGAAAAAAUAUCUACAUUUGCAGUUAUAAAAGUGGAAACAAGUCCAAAUAGUUUGCAUGGUUUUUCCUAAAGUUGCCACAAGAAAGCAUAAUAAAAAUUACUACAAUUGCCAUGGUUCGUAAAACAAAAAAGUUCUGAUUUUGCCGGAAACAUUUUAAAACAUUUACAUUUUGCAUAGAAACGUUUUCUUAGAAAGAAGUAAAAAUAUGUACAUUUUUCUAUGAUAGUUUCUCUAAAAUUUCCAUCAUUAAAGGGAAACAAAAAAAAUGCAAAUUUUCCAUCUUCCUAAACAAACAUGAUCCCCGAAGCUAAAAUGUUUUAGAAAACAAAAUAAAUCUAUGAACUUGUCAUGUGAACAAUAAUUUUAUCCAUGAUAUAUAUAUAAUUUUUCCAUCUAGCAAGUGUGGGCAUUAUGAAAAAUUAUAAAUUUUCCAUGUUUGGAAAUAUAAAUAUUAUGAAUUUGCUAUGUGACCAGUGUAUUUUUUUUAGAAAUUAACAAUGUAGAAAAUGAUUUUUGUAGAAAAAAAUAAGUAUGUAAAAUUGGCAUGUGCAAAAGUAGAAAACAUUUCCAAAAUUGCCAUCGGUAAGUGAGAAAAUUUUGUGAAGCUUGUCGUGGGAGUCUUACAAAAAAAUAAUCUAAAUUUUCCAUGUUUGAAUUUUUUUUAUGAAUUUGCCAUGGGACAUGGAGAAAAUAUUUAUAAAUUAGCCAUGUGAACAUGAUAGCUUGGAAUGAGAACAUUACGAAAAAUUUCUGAAUUUUCCAUGUAAAAAUUAUAAAAUUCCUAAAUAUGCUAGGUGGAAAAUUACUAAAUAAUAAGAAAUCACCAAGAUUUAGAGGAAUGAAAAGACCUAAAUUUGCCUUGAGAAUACGAAAAAAUUAACUAAAAAUGACAAUGUGAAGGAAAAAAUUGUUAGCUAGUAGUUGCCAUGGGAACAAUUCAAAACCAUCCCUACAAUUGUCCGUGUAAAUUAUUUACUAUUUUCCAUGGAACAUUUCUUAGAUUUUACGUGUGUACAAAAACAAAAAAAUUUAGAAGUUGGCAUGUAACAUGGUACAGACAUUUACUUGGUCCAUGGCUCCACUAGAAAAUGACCCCCCAUACCUGAGUUUUCUUUAAUAUAUGAAGGAAAAAAAGAAUUUGGCAUGUUAUGUUCAAUAAACAAGCUAUAGUGUAUAUAACGAAUUUUCCGUAGACAUAGGUACAAAAAUAAGAAUUGCCAUGUUAUGCCAAAAAACUUGCCAUAGUGUAUAUAAUAGAUUUUUCAGACACAUGCCAAAUUUGAAUGGUACAUGAAAACUUGCCAUGUAGUUUGGUGUCUAAAAAUUAACGCAAAUUAAAAUCAAAACAAUUGCGUUAUUACCUUCUUUUUACAUUUUAAAAUAUUUUUUUGCCAUGUACCUAGUACAAAAUUUUGCCAUGGCAGGUAUAAGACUUGUCAUGCCAUGAACUACACAUCUGGGGUUGCCAUGAACUAUAAUAUCUACAACUGCCAUGAAAAAUUGGUUAAUUAACAUCCAAUCAAUGAAUUUCAUUCCAUGCUUCCAUCUGUGUUGUACAAAAUUUGAUGCAAAUGCCCUAUUAGUUUCUAGUGGAAGGGCAUGCCAUAAAGGUGAUAGCCGGAGCUUGCUUGCAACGGAGACAACUAUGUCGACAAGAACCUCGUCUGGCAGUGGCCUGGGCUUGGAGGGCGCUAGCUGGACGCUCUCAUGGAGGCUCUGCCAUGGCCAUGCCUUCUAUGCGGCCUCCUCGGUCGUGGCAUUCCUGGUCUUCUAGCUAUCGUAUGGGAGAGGAAACCCUAACAGGUACGAGACGUCCCAAUGAAACUGAAACUUAUAUAAACAUUCGUCCACACACAAUUUUUUACACCGACCAUGAAAAAGCAUUGGGACUACACAGUCUGACAGCGAACAUAGAAUAAUGUUUACACGACGCUGAAAUGGCCAUGCGUUUUCAUAGGAUCGCUUGACCAGCAAGAGAAAUGAUAGAGAAUAGGAAAAAACACCGGCAUCCAUAGUCGACUGAGACUUAAUGAAGUCUUAGUUGAUGUUAUAUUCGUGGGAUCUUUACAAAAUUUUAAUUUUAAUUUUCUUCUUUCUUCCUUUUUAUAUGUUUUAUGACUCGGCCGAGACUUGGUUAAAUCAGUCGAAUGAGAUCUAGCCAACACUGGCUCAUGUAAGGAAGACACUGCUGAAACAACCCGUGCUAAGGAAGUAAAUGCGCGGUGUGAGCCCACGAAAACGAAAAUGAAUCAUCAAUCGUUUUCAUCUUAUGGUAUAAGAGUUACAUGAGACAUAACUAAUUCUCAUCUACCAAAUCCAUCCUCUCAAUCAAAAACGAAAAACAAACAAACAGGAGAAUGCAUCUACCAACACAUACAAACCACAUAGGGUAGAAUACAAUAGAGCAAACUUAAUUGAGUGUUGCAGCGGCAUAGUAGAUUUUUGCAUGAUCAAGAUAAAUUGAGAACAAGCGAUCGCCUAGGCAGUGACUGGGACGCUAUGGAGGACAACUGUCUCCACAGUGAGCCCAGGGCCAAAGCCGAAGAGAACACCCCAAUCCAUUCCCUCGCCAGUUGUGGUGUGGCCAUCCUCGGCGGAGCGUUUGCGCAUUUCGUCCAUGAUGAAGAGUACACAGGCGCUUGACAUGUUGCCAUAUUCGGAGAGGACAUGCCGGGUGGCGCGCAUCCGUUCCUUGUUCAGGUUUACCUUUGCCUCGACCAUGUCAAGGAUUGCUGGCCCACCGGGAUGCGCUAUCCAGAAGACGGAGUUCCAGUCAUUGAUGCCCAAUGGCUUGAAUGCGUCCUCUAGGGCCCGCUCGAUGUUCUUGGAGAUGAGCCCAGGCACAUCCUUGAGGAGGUGGAAGGUGAGGCCGACCUCUCGGAGGUGGCCGUCGAUGGCACCCUCUGAGUCCGGCAGAAUCGUCUGGCUCGCAGACACUAGCUGGAACAGGGGGCGCUCGAUGGACUCGUCGGGGUCCGCGCCGAUGAUCACCGCGGCUGCACCAUCGCCGAAGAGCGCCUGACCUACCAGCGAGUCGAGGUGGGACUCGUGCGGGCCACGGAAGGUCACCGCGGUGAUCUCGGAGCAGACCACCAGCACACGUGCGCCACGGUUGUUCUCAGCAAGGUCUUUGGCUAGGCGAAGCACCGUGCCGCCGGCAAAGCAGCCCUGCUGAUACAUCAUGAGGCGCUUCACGGAAGGACGGAGGCCGAGCAUCUUGGUCAGUUGGUAGUCGGCGCCCGGCAUGUCCA
This 9410-nucleotide long non-coding RNA is filed under the name Triticum aestivum (bread wheat). RNAcentral describes it as "long non-coding RNA (TAES_LNC021715)". Lineage: Eukaryota; Viridiplantae; Streptophyta; Magnoliopsida; Poales; Poaceae. The record is from RNAcentral.